RNAcentral lists this ribosomal RNA (253 nucleotides) under uncultured bacterium. RNAcentral describes it as "partial 16S ribosomal RNA". It matches the Rfam family "Bacterial small subunit ribosomal RNA", at positions 524 to 776 of the family's 1533-position model. The record is from RNAcentral.
GACGAAGGGGGCUAGCGUUGUUCGGAAUUACUGGGCGUAAAGCGCGUGUAGGCGGUUGCCCAAGUCAGGGGUGAAAGCCUUGAGCUCAACUCAAGAAAUGCACUUGGUACUGGGUGGCUAGAGGACCGGAGAGGAUAGUGGAAUUCCCAGUGUAGUGGUGAAAUACGUAGAGAUUGGGAAGAACACCAGUGGCGAAGGCGGCCGACUGGUCCGGUUCUGACGCUGAGGCGCGAAAGCGUGGGGAGCAAACAGG